RNAcentral lists this unclassified non-coding RNA (651 nucleotides) under Tatumella citrea. The record is from RNAcentral. Lineage: Bacteria; Pseudomonadati; Pseudomonadota; Gammaproteobacteria; Enterobacterales; Erwiniaceae.
UUUUGUGCUUCAGCUUCGCAAGAGCACCAAUGCUGUAAGCUGGAUGUGCCGAACCCCAGCAAAGCUGGGCUUGACCCAUAGUUUCGCCUCCUGAAUUUCACUCGAAAAAGUGAAAGUUAUCAGGUAGACGACACCACAGAUCAGCACUUGAGGCUUGACCCACAGAAGCACAAGCUUAGACUAUCAAACCUUUCAGUUUGACGACACCCUACUACACCCCUUGUGUCGCACCAUAUGAAGACUUGCUUCAACCUAACCCCAUUUAUGGCUGGGCUUUCUCAUAGCUUACCUGGUUGAUAACCAAAACACUUAGGCACUCGUUUCGGGUAUGGUCUUUUGUAGCACUCCCCGUUUAGACCUACAUACACUGUUUGGCGAACAAUCACAUAUUGACCACUCGGAUCAAUGGCUCCACACCAAACACCGGACACAAUCGGUUUAAACAAAAUAUGUAUGCUUAAGGAUCUGAAAAGGCUAGGAAAUUUUUGAGUUGUAACUAAGAGGUAAGUUUGACUUUCUGCGAAAUGUGAGUUAGAUUUCUACUUACAAAUCGUAAUCGAGUUCUGACCAACUUGAUUACAAGACUCAAAGAAGUCCCCACUUCUUUUAGUCCUUCAAAGCCAGCCUGCAAAGCUGGUUUUGUCGUAUCUG